GCAGAGCUAGCCAUGGUGUACAAAGUAAAUGCUGCUAUCUUUUCCAAAUUAAAUGGAAAAGAUAGCAGUGGAUGAGAUAUUCAUUUACUUUGUACACCAUGGCUAGCUCU
This is a non-coding RNA of Puccinia sorghi, 110 nucleotides long. NCBI's taxonomy places the organism in Eukaryota, Fungi, Basidiomycota, Pucciniomycetes, Pucciniales, Pucciniaceae. The record is from the annotation of a GenBank genome assembly.